CAAGAUUGGAAGGGGUGAGCCACCACCUGUUCCUGAUUUUCUGUCAAGUUUAUCACAGGACUUCAUCAUGCAAUGCCUGCAAGUUAAUCCUGAUGAUCGUCCCACUGCUGCUCAGCUCGUGGACCAUCCAUUUGUAAAGGGGUCAUAGCAUACCUAAUUAGGCUUUGGAAAAUCCUGAAUCUCACUAAUUGUGGUGUUUUUUAAUCAAUUAAGCUCAUUCAUUUGGAUGACUAAGGCACUGGCGAGUUCCUGCAUUCAUUCUAUGAACAGUGGGAAAUUUCUUGGCCCAUGAGUUUCCCGGUCUAGCCUCACUAGAGAGAUGAAGAAGCCACCCCAUUGCAACUUUCAAAAUCCACUAGUCCAAUUUUCUCUUCUUUAAAGAACUGUGAUAUAUGAGAUUUGAAUCCUAACUACACUUAUUUCUGCAUUGACAACAUAUUAAAAUUCAUUGCAUAAGAUGGUUAUGCGUUGAACAAUUUAAGUGGAAAAUCUGG
This 494-nucleotide unclassified non-coding RNA is filed under the name Hevea brasiliensis (rubber tree). The record is from RNAcentral. Lineage: Eukaryota; Viridiplantae; Streptophyta; Magnoliopsida; Malpighiales; Euphorbiaceae.